AGCCAUGCACGUCUAAGUACAAACUAAAUGAUGGUGAAACUGCAAAUGGCCCAUUACAACGGUUAUGAUGUACCCGGGAGUUCCGAUGGAUAUUUCCAGUAACACUAGAACUAAUACAUGCUCCUGCGUUUAUUAGUUUCGCACAGUCCGUCGCUGAGUCAUGGUAAACAGUUGAUCGACUCGACGUCCCGGAACAGUUUCCGCCCCAUCAGCUUCGAUGGUUGGGUAUUGGCCUACCAUUGCAACAACGGGUAACGAGGAAUUAGGGUUUGAUUUCGGAGAGGGAGCCUGAGAAACGGCUACCACAUCUACGGAUGGCAGCAGGCGCGCAAAUUACCCAAUGCAGACUCUGUGAGGUAGUGACGAGAAAUAAUAAAGCGGGACUUCUGUUUCGCUAUUAUAAUGAGGAAUAACCAAAGGUCAUUCCGAUUAGCAACUGAUGGGAAAGUCUGGUGCCAGCAGCCGCGGUAAUACCAGCGUCAGUAGCAUAUAUUAAAAUUGUUGCAGUUAAAACGUCCGUAGUCUGUACGUCGUCCCAAACUCACUGCAGUCUUCCGUUUUCUUCAUUGAAUGCGGUAGUUUCUGCAGUCACUCCCUUGAUCAAAUUAGGUUGUUCAAGGUAGACCAAGUCUUCAUAUUUUCACAUGGAAUUGGGUGAGGGAACUUAAGAGUUUAAGUUUCUCGUCUUANGAUCAUCCGGGGUCAUUCGUACUCGUCCGCGAGAGGUGAAAUUCUUGGACCGGACGAAGACNACCAGCAGCGAAAGCAUCUGUCAGGGAUGUUUUCUGCGACCAAGGACGAAGGUCAGGGUAUCGAAGACNAUUAGAU
Molecule: ribosomal RNA, 828 nt
Filed under: uncultured alveolate
Lineage: Eukaryota
Description: bacterial SSU rRNA
Rfam family: Eukaryotic small subunit ribosomal RNA
Source: RNAcentral